This 507-nucleotide ribosomal RNA is filed under the name uncultured bacterium. RNAcentral describes it as "partial 16S ribosomal RNA". It matches the Rfam family "Bacterial small subunit ribosomal RNA", at positions 28 to 507 of the family's 1533-position model. The record is from RNAcentral.
GACGAACGCUGGCGGCGUGCCUAAUACAUGCAAGUCGAACGCAUUUUCUUUCACCGUAGCUUGCUACACCGAAAGAAAAUGAGUGGCGAACGGGUGAGUAACACGUGGGUAACCUGCCCAUCAGCGUGGGAUAACACUUGGAAACAGGUGCUAAUACCGCAUAAUUCCAUUUACUGCAUGGUAGUUGGAUGAAAGGCGCUUUUGCGUCACUGAUGGAUGGACCCGCGGUGCAUUAGCUAGUUGGUGGGGUAACGGCCUACCAAGGCUGCGAUGCAUAGCCGACCUGAGAGGGUGAUCGGCCACACUGGGACUGAGACACGGCCCAGACUCCUACGGGAGGCAGCAGUAGGGGAUCUUCGGCAAUGGACGCAAGGCUGACCGAGCAACGCCGCGUGAGUGAAGAAGGUUGUCGGAUCGUAAAACUCUGUUGUUAGAAAAGAAAAAGGAUGAGAGUGGAAAGUUCAUCCCUUGACGGUACCUAACCAGAAAGCCACGGCUAACUACGUG